RNAcentral lists this long non-coding RNA (1335 nucleotides) under Gossypium barbadense (sea-island cotton). Its description in RNAcentral is "long non-coding RNA (GBAR_LNC017716)". Lineage: Eukaryota; Viridiplantae; Streptophyta; Magnoliopsida; Malvales; Malvaceae. The record is from RNAcentral.
GCUUUUCUUCUGUGCUUCCAUUUUCUUUCCCAAUUCCAUCAGUUUUCUCUAUUUUCUGAUUCCCUCAAUUAUUGCUCCGAAAUCAAAACAUAGAAAAAAGGUUUACGAACGCCGGUGUCUGGUGUUGAUAAUCGGUGUUGGCUGAUGGCAAGCAGAAGAUCAGGUGUCAAGGAUAGGGGAAGGGGAAAGGGAAGGGGAAGGGGAAGGGGAAGGGGAAGGGAAAGGGAAGGUGAUACGAGUCACAAAAGCCCAAAUUCUUGAAGGCGAGGCCCAAUAAGUAAAUUCCUAGCCCAAUCAAGAAAUCCAUCCAUACUUAGUUGAAAAUCAGGCCAAAUUGUCAAAGUGGCCCAAGUUGUAAAGUUUUAUUUUUAUUUUUAUUUAUUUAUUUACUUAGUUUAAAUUUUUAUGUCAAUAUUCAGUCCAAGAGUCCCAAAUAAAAUGACCUUUGACCGAAUUUCCAUAUUAAAAUAAUUAGGAGUUUUUUUUAUUUUAGUUUUCUAAUUAGAUUAGGACUAGUUAUAAGGCCUAUUUAAAGGCAUGGCUGUCCACCUUGUUAAACACUUAUCAUUAUUAUUAAAAUUUCAGAUUUGUUGAGAGCAGAAUUUUCUUUGAGUUUUCUCCAAGAUUUUUCUCUUGAGUUUUCUUUAGAAGUUGUUUUAACAAUCUUGUGAUUGUGGGAGCCAUCUUCAACCUUCUUCUUGCCAUUGAUAUUCUUUGGAGGGGAGAUUAGAGCCGUUUGAAGGGAGUUGUGAGAUCUUUCGAGAUUUCAAGGCUUCUUAGGACUUAUCUUUUAAUUUCUUACUGUCAAUUCUUUCUUUAUUUCUACUUGUGCUGAAUCAUUAUCUAAUCUAUUUUCUGUUCUUAUUGUGUUUUCAGCCUUUUUCUAUCUUAAGGAAUCAACCCAAAAAUCCCCAAUUUUUAGGGUUUUUCCAUACUCUUUUUGGGUGAAAUUAGAUUGUCGAAAUUUGGGGAAAACUAUCUUGGUGUUCAAUUGGGCAGAAUCACAAUCUCCUUGAGGGUUUCAAGAACCCUAACACUUAUUUCUAUUCUCAAUUUGAUUCUUUGCUGAUUUGGGGAUUUUAUUUCAGAUCUGAAAAUUCAAAAAUCUAAUCUUUUAAUUUUCUGUUUCGUUUCAGAUCUAAUUGUUUAGGGUUUUCGUAGGAGUUUCUCGUGACUUGGCAACUCGAUCUUGGUCCGCGCGCAACCCCGUAUCAGAAGGGAAGAUUGGUGUCUAAUUUUCCUGAAAAUGUCUUACCGAAUUAGAAACGGUGAGACAUUUUCCAAAAUUAAGGCUUCUUUUUCCCAUGUUUGUAAUUGAUUUUACGUGAAGAAAAU